AUUUAAACAGAUUUCUAAAAAAACACGGGAACCUUAUUUAAUCGUUUAAUCACUUUGCGAACCAUAUUAAUGUAAAUAUUUUAAAAAUAACUUUAUUUUUAGUGCACCAACCUCCACUUCCAGUGGGUUA
Molecule: long non-coding RNA, 130 nt
Organism: Sphaeramia orbicularis (orbiculate cardinalfish)
Lineage: Eukaryota; Metazoa; Chordata; Actinopteri; Kurtiformes; Apogonidae
Exons: 3
Source: RefSeq, a predicted model, not a curated record